GGACCCUUAGCUCAGUUGGUAGAGCGUCUGACUCUUAAUCAGAAUGUCGUUGGUUCGAACCCAACAGGGUCCA
RNAcentral lists this transfer RNA (73 nucleotides) under Erythrobacter sp. QSSC1-22B. It matches the Rfam family "tRNA". From Rfam's summary of the family: Transfer RNA (tRNA) molecules are approximately 80 nucleotides in length. Their secondary structure includes four short double-helical elements and three loops (D, anti-codon, and T loops). Further hydrogen bonds mediate the characteristic L-shaped molecular structure. tRNAs have two regions of fundamental functional importance: the anti-codon, which is responsible for specific mRNA codon recognition, and the 3' end, to which the tRNAs corresponding amino acid is attached (by aminoacyl-tRNA synthetases). tRNAs cope with the degeneracy of the genetic code in two manners: having more than one tRNA (with a specific anti-codon) for a particular amino acid; and 'wobble' base-pairing, i.e. permitting non-standard base-pairing at the 3rd anti-codon position. Lineage: Bacteria; Pseudomonadati; Pseudomonadota; Alphaproteobacteria; Sphingomonadales; Erythrobacteraceae. The record is from Rfam by way of RNAcentral.